Oreochromis niloticus (Nile tilapia) is the source of this 2769-nucleotide RNA transcript. It is a transcript of the gene named extracellular matrix protein FRAS1, with no coding region annotated. The transcript is spliced from 8 exons. NCBI's taxonomy places the organism in Eukaryota, Metazoa, Chordata, Actinopteri, Cichliformes, Cichlidae. The record is from RefSeq and is a predicted model, not a curated record.
CUCGGUGUCAUUAAAUUGCUUCACUUUGGUUCAAUUGUCUCAGUUAGGUUCAAUAUGGGGAAGACUGCAGACUUGACAACUGGGCAGAAGAGCAUCAUUGAUACCCUCCAUGGGAUGGGUAAGCCACAAAAGUUCAUAGCUAACGAGGCUGGCUGUUCACAGAGUGCUGUGUCCAAACAUAUCAAUGGAAAGUCUAGCAGAAGGGCAAAAUGUGGCAGGAGAAGAUGCACCAGCAGAAGAGAUGACCGUGGCCUUCAGCGGACUAUCAAACGGAGAAGAUUCAAGAAUCUGGCAGAAAGACUGUGUGGAGGCGCGAAGGCGGAAAACCGAUAAAGGCACUAGGAUCAGCACCUUCACGCAGGCUGACCUGGCAUCACGCAGCAUCCAGUUGCUCAGACUUUCUACAUCACUAUCAAGCCUGUGGACGACUCCCUGCCUCUUCUUCAGGUCCCUGGCAUGAGGGUGCAGGAGGGUGUGAGGAAGACCAUCACUGAGUUUGAGCUGAAAGCCACCGAUGCGGACACAGAGGUAACACACUGGCUACAUACGUUUUCUGCAAAUCUUUCACAGCCUUAAUUACAGUAUAUGCGUGACAUCAUGACAAGAAUCAGGUGUCACCUUCUGUGGCGGGAACUACAACAGAGACGCUUUGAGUACUUCAGAAGGUCUUAAAAUAAAACAAAACAAAAAACUUUUCAAAUGUGUAACUGAGGUCAAAAUACAGCAUUGAAGGACUGAUUUCUUCAGCAUGCACACUCAUACUUCUUUAAUUAAGGCGAAACUAAAGCAAAUGUUGGAUGUUAUCCAUCCUCUGCUGCAUAUAUUGUAGAGUUAAUAAUAUGUAUGAAGUAAUUUAAAUGAGCUUAUUUGCCUUUUUCCUUCUUUCGGCAUCAAAUUCUCUUUAUGAGCUGCACAAUAUAAACAGAUGUCAAGAGAUGUACUCUGAGACACUUCUUCAGCUGAGAAUCAGAGAGGAGAAACACACAGUUUUACUUGCAUGCAAGGGCAGCCACAGAGCACCUGCACCUGGAGUGAGGGCUCCGGGACUCGCACUCUGCCACUGCCCUGGUCUUUAUUUAUACACAAGAAGAGUGAUACAACAGUGAAUACGUUUGUUCAGUGGAAUGUUGAUGCGUGAGCAUGUGCGGAUAUGUGUGUGUGUGUGUGUGUGUGUGUGUGUGCGCGCGUGCCAGGAGAGGCUCCUCUACCUGGUACAAAGUGAAACUGCUUAUUAAGCUCUUAUCUAGCAGGUACUGCUCCUUCCCUGCAUGAUAACAGGUCACAGUGAAUCAAAACAGUCUGAGUUAUAAAGUGGUCAUCAUGCAGUAUUCUAUCAUAUGCAAACUUAUAUUAUUAAAAGAUUAUACUGACUACUAAGUACAAUUUUCUAUUGACAACAGAUCAUAUCUUUGAAGCUUGGUAUGAUUUGUGAAUAGAUAGAUAGAAUAGAAUAGUAUAGAAUUCAACUUUAUUGCCAUUGCACACACAAGGCAAGGCAACGAAAUGCAGUUUGCAUUCAUCCAGAAAGUGCUUUAGUGCUUUAGUAAUAAUAUAGCUAUAUUAUAGAUAUGAUACAAUGUACACAGUGUGAAGGUGUGUUAUGAAUAUACUAUAACUAUAAGCAUACAGGCUAUAACUGAAGUGAAUGUACAAGCUAUGUACAGGCUAUGAACAGCUUAGCUAUAGCAGCUAUAGCAGAUUAUACAUAUACAAUUGCGAGUAUUAAUAACAGUUGUAAAACUAUAAUUACUGUGUUGUACAGUAUGACUGUCUAUACAGCAUUUACAGUAGUGCAAUCGAGAUCAGUGAGAUACAUGGAUAAAUUAUACAGUAGUUAUAUAAAGUGCCAGUGGUUGUAAGUGGUGGUUCAGUCCAUGUUAUUAUUGUGUGUAUGAGGGUACAGUCAGCCAUUUGUUUGUUUUUGUCCAUUGUGUGUAUGUUCAGUUAUGGGGAAGAGUCCGUGUGCUGGGUGACUGGGGUCUUUGAUGAUUUUCCAGGCCUUUUCAGACACCGCUUCCUGUAGAUGUCUUGUAUGGCAGGAAGUGGUGCUCCGGCGAUGCGCUGGGCAUGCAACAACUAGAGUGCUGUGUCCAAGCAUAUCAAUGGAAAGUCUAGCAGAAGGGCAAAAUGUGGCAGGAGAAGAUGCACCAGCAGAAGAGAUGAUCGGACUAUCAAACGGAGAAGAUUCAAGAAUCUGGCAGAAAGACUGUGUGGCGGCGCGAAGGCGGAAAACCGAUAAAGGCACUAGGAUCAGCACCUUCACGCAGGCUGACCUGGCAUCACGCAGCAUCCAGUUGCUCAGACUUUCUACAUCACUAUCAAGCCUGUGGACGACUCCCUGCCUCUUCUUCAGGUCCCUGGCAUGAGGGUGCAGGAGGGUGUGAGGAAGACCAUCACUGAGUUUGAGCUGAAAGCCACCGAUGCGGACACAGAGGCAUCAAAUUCUCUUUAUGAGCUGCACAAUAUAAACAGAUGUCAAGAGAUGUACUCUGAGACACUUCUUCAGCUGAGAAUCAGAGAGGAGAAACACACAGUUUUACUUGCAUGCAAGGGCAGCCACAGAGCACCUGCACCUGGAGUGAGGGCUCCGGGACUCGCACUCUGCCACUGCCCUGGUCUUUAUUUAUACACAAGAAGAGUGAUACAACAGUGAAUACGUUUGUUCAGUGGAAUGUUGAUGCGUGAGCAUGUGCGGAUAUGUGUGUGUGUGUGUGUGUGUGUGUGUGUGUGUGUGCGUGUGCGUGUGUGUGUGUGUGUGUGUGCGUGUGU